Molecule: ribosomal RNA, 252 nt
Filed under: uncultured bacterium
Lineage: Bacteria
Description: partial 16S ribosomal RNA
Rfam family: Bacterial small subunit ribosomal RNA
Source: RNAcentral
UACGUAGGUGGCAAGCGUUGUCCGGAUUUACUGGGUUUAAAGGGUGCGUAGGCGGGAUGCCAAGUCAGCGGUAAAAAUGCGGUGCUCAACGCCGUCGAGCCGUUGAAACUGGCGUUCUUGAGUGGGCGAGAAGUAUGCGGAAUGCGUGGUGUAGCGGUGAAAUGCAUAGAUAUCACGCAGAACUCCGAUUGCGAAGGCAGCAUACCGGCGCCCUACUGACGCUGAGGCACGAAAGCGUGGGUAUCGAACAGG